UACGGAGGGUGCAAGCGUUGCUCGGAAUCACUGGGCGUAAAGCGCCCGCAGGCGGCCUGACAAGUCGGAUGUGAAAGCCCUGGGCUCAACUCAGGAAUUGCAUUCGAAACUGGUAGGCUCGAGUACGGGAGAGGGGGAUGGAAUUCCUGGUGUAGGGGUGAAAUUCGUUGAUAUCAGGAGGAACACCGGCGGCGAAGGCGGCCCCCUGGCCCGCAACUGACGCUCAUGGUCGAAAGCGUGGGGAGCAAACAGG
RNAcentral lists this ribosomal RNA (253 nucleotides) under uncultured bacterium. Its description in RNAcentral is "partial 16S ribosomal RNA". It matches the Rfam family "Bacterial small subunit ribosomal RNA", at positions 524 to 776 of the family's 1533-position model. The record is from RNAcentral.